CCCCAAUCCAGACUCAACGACCACCACCACCCUCUCCAAUCCAGACUCAAUGACCUCCAUCACACCUCUCACCCCCCUUUCCUCCUCCCUGAAACUCAGAAUACACACUGAGGAUGUGAGCCGACUAUUUCAGAAACAGAAGCCCAGGAAAGCCCCCGGACCAGACGGUGUCUCACCCUCCUGCCUCAAAACCUGUGCUGAACAGCUGGCUCCCAUCUUUACCCGCAUCUUCAACAGAUCCCUGGAACUGUGUGAAGUUCCCUCCUGCUUCAAACGCUCCACCAUCAUCCCUGUUCCCAAGAAACCCACCAUCACAGGACUGAAUGACUACAGACCUGUCGCCUUGACGUCUGUGGUCAUGAAAUCCUUCAAACGACUGGUGUUAGCCCAUCUGAAGGACAUUACAGGCCACCAGCUGGACACUCUGCAGUUUGCCUACCGGGCAAACAGGUCGGUGGAUGAUGCAGUGAACAUGGGGCUGCAUUACAUCCUGCAACACCUCGACUGCCCGGGAACUUAUGCCAGGGUCCUGUUUGUGGACUUUAGUUCGGCUUUUAACACCAUCGUGCCUGAACUUCUCUCCUCCAAACUCUCCCAGCUCAGCGUGUCACCAGCUACCUGUCAGUGGAUCACCAGCUUCCUGACAGACAGAAAGCAACAAGUGAGGCUGGGGGAGAUCACCUCUGAAACUCGGUCCCUCAGUAUUGGUGCCCCUCAAGGAUGUGUCCUUGACUGCACCUCCAAGAACUCUGCUGUUAAACUCCUAAAGUUUGCAGAUGACACCACCAUCAUUGGCCUCAUUCAGGAUGGCGAUGAGUCUGCAUACCGGUAGGAAGUUGAGCGGCUGGUACUCUGGUGCAGUCAGCACAAUCUGGAGCUGAACACUCUUAAAACUGUAGAGAUGACAGUGGACUUCAGGAGACAUCCCUCAACUCUGCCCCCCCUUACCAUAUCAGACAGCCCUGUGUCGACUGUGAAGAUCUUCCAAUGGGAGACCAACAUCAACUCCAUCCUCAAAAAGACCCAGCAGAGGAUGUACUUCCUGAGAAAGGAUCAUCGGCGCCACCCUGCCCUCCAUCCAGGCAUCUGUACCUCUCAAGAACCAGGAAACGGGCAGGGAAAAUCAUCACAGACCCCUCACACCCUGCACACAGACUUUUUGAUCUGCUGCCCUCUGGCAGACGGUACAGAAGCCUGCAGACCAGGACCACCCGACAUAGGAACAGUUUCUUUCCC
Molecule: long non-coding RNA, 1236 nt
Organism: Oreochromis aureus
Lineage: Eukaryota; Metazoa; Chordata; Actinopteri; Cichliformes; Cichlidae
Source: Ensembl